This is a non-coding RNA of Pelobates cultripes (western spadefoot toad), 227 nucleotides long. The record is from the annotation of a GenBank genome assembly. NCBI's taxonomy places the organism in Eukaryota, Metazoa, Chordata, Amphibia, Anura, Pelobatidae.
GCAUUGAUUCAGUGAAUCUCAAUGAGGAGUUGCUGAUUGGACAGGGCUGUGUUUUGCAUAUGCUGGCUCUGCCCUGAUCUGCCUUCUUGAUAAUCUCAGCCAAUCCAAUGUUUUCAUAUGGGAAAGCAUUGUGAUCACUGCUCCUGAUUUUGUCAGUCAAAUAGGCAGAUUAGGGGCAGGGGCAGUACCAGCAGACUGCAAUAAAGGUAAUAUGUUACUAUAUUUAG